This 72-nucleotide transfer RNA is filed under the name Ciborinia camelliae. RNAcentral describes it as "tRNA-Lys". It matches the Rfam family "tRNA". Rfam says of the family: Transfer RNA (tRNA) molecules are approximately 80 nucleotides in length. Lineage: Eukaryota; Fungi; Ascomycota; Leotiomycetes; Helotiales; Sclerotiniaceae. The record is from RNAcentral.
AAUAUCUUAGUUUAAAGGUAAAUUUCAAUACUUUUAAUCUUUGUUAUAUGGGUUCGAAUCCCAUAGGUUUUA